CCUACGGGAGGCAGCAGUGAGGAAUAUUGGUCAAUGGACGAGAGUCUGAACCAGCCAAGUAGCGUGAAGGAUGACUGCCCUAUGGGUUGUAAACUUCUUUUAUAUGGGAAUAAAAUGUUCCACGUGUGGGAUUUUGUAUGUAACAUAUGAAUAAGGAUCGGCUAACUCCGUGCCAGCAGCCGCGGUAAUACGGAGGAUCCGAGCGUUAUCCGGAUUUAUUGGGUUUAAGGGGAGCGUAGGUGGAUUGUUAAGUCAGUUGUGAAAGUUUGCGGCUCAACCGUAAAAUUGCAGUUGAAACUGGCAGUCUUGAGUACAGUAGAGGUGGGCGGAAUUCGUGGUGUAGCGGUGAAAUGCUUAGAUAUCACGAAGAACUCCGAUUGCGAAGGCAGUUCACUGGACUGCAACUGACACUGAGGCUCGAAAGUGUGGGUAUCAAACAGGAUUAGAUACCCUUGUAGUC
This 460-nucleotide ribosomal RNA is filed under the name uncultured bacterium. RNAcentral's name for it is "partial 16S ribosomal RNA". It matches the Rfam family "Bacterial small subunit ribosomal RNA", at positions 338 to 795 of the family's 1533-position model. The record is from RNAcentral.